GAUGAACGCUGACCGAAUGCUUAACACAUGCAAGUCAACUUGAACUUCGGUUUGGGUGGCGGACGGGUGAGUAACGCGUAAAGAACUUGCCUCACAGAUAGGGACAACAUUUGGAAACGAAUGCUAAUACCUGAUAUUAUGAUUUUAGGGCAUCCUAGGAUUAUGAAAGCUAUAUGCGCUGUGAGAGAGCUUUGCGUCCCAUUAGCUAGUUGGAGAGGUAACGGCCCACCAAGGCGAUGAUGGGUAGCCGGCCUGAGAGGGUGAUCGGCCACAAGGGGACUGAGACACGGCCCUUACUCCUACGGGAGGCAGCAGUGGGGAAUAUUGGACAAUGGACCAAGAGUCUGAUCCAGCAAUUCUGUGUGCACGAUGAAGUUUUUCGGAAUGUAAAGUGCUUUCAGUUGGGAAGAAAAAAAUGACGGUACCAACAGAAGAAGUGACGGCUAAAUACGUG
This 454-nucleotide ribosomal RNA is filed under the name uncultured bacterium. RNAcentral's name for it is "partial 16S ribosomal RNA". It matches the Rfam family "Bacterial small subunit ribosomal RNA", at positions 28 to 507 of the family's 1533-position model. The record is from RNAcentral.